Molecule: microRNA, 21 nt
Filed under: Bos taurus (domestic cattle)
Lineage: Eukaryota; Metazoa; Chordata; Mammalia; Artiodactyla; Bovidae
Description: bta-miR-2889
Source: miRBase by way of RNAcentral
GUCCCCGGGGCUCCCGCCGGC